GUAUAUAUCCUCUAAGCACGCAUGUUGGUUGGAGUCAAAUGCAAAUUCAUAGAAUCUGAAUUUAAGAUUACCAUAUGUAUUUGAGAGCACAGCUGAUGAAAAUUUUACCGAUUGCAAAUGAUAAAUGUUACGAGCAUGGAAAAAGCAUAACCAAUUUUAAAUCAGCUUGUCAGGUAUGCAUUGAUUCCAGAUUCAAACCAUCACUUCCGUUUAGUAUGUUGUUUAUCAUUUUGUGAUCAGAACACUGUCGGGCGGUGUUACUAUUGUGAAUGUUAUGCGAGAAAGCAAAGAAAAUUCUAAUGGGAGAAAGCAAAGUUAAGGUGAA
Molecule: long non-coding RNA, 325 nt
Organism: Pyrus x bretschneideri (Chinese white pear)
Lineage: Eukaryota; Viridiplantae; Streptophyta; Magnoliopsida; Rosales; Rosaceae
Exons: 3
Source: RefSeq, a predicted model, not a curated record